Molecule: ribosomal RNA, 2143 nt
Filed under: Salmonella enterica subsp. enterica serovar Kentucky
Lineage: Bacteria; Pseudomonadati; Pseudomonadota; Gammaproteobacteria; Enterobacterales; Enterobacteriaceae
Description: partial 23S ribosomal RNA
Rfam family: Bacterial large subunit ribosomal RNA
Source: RNAcentral
UUAGCGGAUGACCUGUGGCUGGGGGUGAAAGGCCAAUCAAACCGGGAGAUAGCUGGUUCUCCCCGAAAGCUAUUUAGGUAGCGCCUCGUGAAUUCAUCUCCGGGGGUAGAGCACUGUUUCGGCUAGGGGGCCAUCCCGGCUUACCAACCCGAUGCAAACUGCGAAUACCGGAGAAUGUUAUCACGGGAGACACACGGCGGGUGCUAACGUCCGUCGUGAAGAGGGAAACAACCCAGACCGCCAGCUAAGGUCCCAAAGUCAUGGUUAAGUGGGAAACGAUGUGGGAAGGCCCAGACAGCCAGGAUGUUGGCUUAGAAGCAGCCAUCAUUUAAAGAAAGCGUAAUAGCUCACUGGUCGAGUCGGCCUGCGCGGAAGAUGUAACGGGGCUAAACCAUGCACCGAAGCUGCGGCAGCGACACUGUGUGUUGUUGGGUAGGGGAGCGUUCUGUAAGCCUGCGAAGGUGUCCCGUGAGGGAUGCUGGAGGUAUCAGAAGUGCGAAUGCUGACAUAAGUAACGAUAAAGCGGGUGAAAAGCCCGCUCGCCGGAAGACCAAGGGUUCCUGUCCAACGUUAAUCGGGGCAGGGUGAGUCGACCCCUAAGGCGAGGCCGAAAGGCGUAGUCGAUGGGAAACGGGUUAAUAUUCCCGUACUUGGUGUUACUGCGAAGGGGGGACGGAGAAGGCUAUGUUGGCCGGGCGACGGUUGUCCCGGUUUAAGCGUGUAGGUGUGUGUUCCAGGUAAAUCCGGUUCACUUUAACACUGAGGCGUGACGACGAGGCACUACGGUGCUGAAGCAACAAAUGCCCUGCUUCCAGGAAAAGCCUCUAAGCAUCAGGUAACAUCAAAUCGUACCCCAAACCGACACAGGUGGUCAGGUAGAGAAUACCAAGGCGCUUGAGAGAACUCGGGUGAAGGAACUAGGCAAAAUGGUGCCGUAACUUCGGGAGAAGGCACGCUGACACGUAGGUGAAGUGAUUUACUCAUGGAGCUGAAGUCAGUCGAAGAUACCAGCUGGCUGCAACUGUUUAUUAAAAACACAGCACUGUGCAAACACGAAAGUGGACGUAUACGGUGUGACGCCUGCCCGGUGCCGGAAGGUUAAUUGAUGGGGUCAGCGCAAGCGAAGCUCCUGAUCGAAGCCCCGGUAAACGGCGGCCGUAACUAUAACGGUCCUAAGGUAGCGAAAUUCCUUGUCGGGUAAGUUCCGACCUGCACGAAUGGCGUAAUGAUGGCCAGGCUGUCUCCACCCGAGACUCAGUGAAAUUGAACUCGCUGUGAAGAUGCAGUGUACCCGCGGCAAGACGGAAAGACCCCGUGAACCUUUACUAUAGCUUGACACUGAACAUUGAGCCUUGAUGUGUAGGAUAGGUGGGAGGCUUUGAAGUGUGGACGCCAGUCUGCAUGGAGCCGACCUUGAAAUACCACCCUUUAAUGUUUGAUGUUCUAACGUGGACCCGUAAUCCGGGUUGCGGACAGUGUCUGGUGGGUAGUUUGACUGGGGCGGUCUCCUCCUAAAGAGUAACGGAGGAGCACGAAGGUUGGCUAAUCCUGGUCGGACAUCAGGAGGUUAGUGCAAUGGCAUAAGCCAGCUUGACUGCGAGCGUGACGGCGCGAGCAGGUGCGAAAGCAGGUCAUAGUGAUCCGGUGGUUCUGAAUGGAAGGGCCAUCGCUCAACGGAUAAAAGGUACUCCGGGGAUAACAGGCUGAUACCGCCCAAGAGUUCAUAUCGACGGCGGUGUUUGGCACCUCGAUGUCGGCUCAUCACAUCCUGGGGCUGAAGUAGGUCCCAAGGGUAUGGCUGUUCGCCAUUUAAAGUGGUACGCGAGCUGGGUUUAGAACGUCGUGAGACAGUUCGGUCCCUAUCUGCCGUGGGCGCUGGAGAACUGAGGGGGGCUGCUCCUAGUACGAGAGGACCGGAGUGGACGCAUCACUGGUGUUCGGGUUGUCAUGCCAAUGGCACUGCCCGGUAGCUAAAUGCGGAAGAGAUAAGUGCUGAAAGCAUCUAAGCACGAAACUUGCCCCGAGAUGAGUUCUCCCUGAGACUUAGAGUCUCCUGAAGGAACGUUGAAGACGACGACGUUGAUAGGCCGGGUGUGUAAGCGCAGCGAUGCGUUGAGCUAACCGGUACUAAUGAACCGUGAGG